AGUCAGUUGACGAGUCCCAAAUAGGACGAAAUGUCCUUUAUCCUGGAU
Molecule: non-coding RNA, 48 nt
Filed under: Trichobilharzia regenti
Lineage: Eukaryota; Metazoa; Platyhelminthes; Trematoda; Strigeidida; Schistosomatidae
Source: RNAcentral